UCAUCUGUCCAGUUAAUGGGAUAAGCUGAUCGGUUCAGCUCUGGCCUGUGAAUUCUAAGGUUAAUUAGCUUUUGGUGUUGCUGUUUUUCCAACACCUGUUGAAUAAAUUUUGCUUGUAUUACAAAGUCAGCUUUAAAAGUAAAUAAUGAGAUGCUUCUUGCGUUUCUUAGAUGGAGGUUUGUUUCAUGCCUUUUCAGUAUAAUAUAUCUCAUUCUCCCAGAUCUUUGUGUUUGCUGUUUUUCCAACACCUGUUGAAUAAAUUUUGCUUGUAUUACAAAGUCAGCUUUAAAAGUAAAUAAUGAGAUGCUUCUUGCGUUUCUUAGAUGGAGGUUCGUUUCAUGCCUUUUCAGUAUAAUAUAUCUCAUUCUCCCAGAUCUUUGUGUAGCAAUGUUCAAAUGAUCUUAAGGACCUUUUUUUAUGAGAAGUUUAAG
RNAcentral lists this long non-coding RNA (431 nucleotides) under Phoenix dactylifera (date palm). RNAcentral's name for it is "long non-coding RNA (PDAC_LNC005069)". Lineage: Eukaryota; Viridiplantae; Streptophyta; Magnoliopsida; Arecales; Arecaceae. The record is from RNAcentral.